AUAGCAGCAGAGUGAGCUGCUACAGUAAUAUGAGAGUACAGUUUGAAGAUUUUUAUACGGGUAUUUAUUUAUACCCUUGUAAAUUUAACUUGAUGUAAAUAAUCUUUUACUUAUAUGUAUCUAAAUAGUUAGAUGAGUAGUUGUACAUUAAAGUUUGUAACAAUAUUAAUUUUGAUUUUCCUUUUGUAAAUUAAGACUUGUGUAUAUAAAUUUAAUUUAAUGGAAUGUUUAUG
This 233-nucleotide unclassified non-coding RNA is filed under the name Hevea brasiliensis (rubber tree). The record is from RNAcentral. Lineage: Eukaryota; Viridiplantae; Streptophyta; Magnoliopsida; Malpighiales; Euphorbiaceae.